Hibiscus syriacus is the source of this 180-nucleotide long non-coding RNA. RefSeq lists it as uncharacterized. NCBI's taxonomy places the organism in Eukaryota, Viridiplantae, Streptophyta, Magnoliopsida, Malvales, Malvaceae. The record is from RefSeq and is a predicted model, not a curated record. The transcript has 3 exons.
AGACCACCGAAGAACGGGAAAGUAAUCCCGAAGAACAUCGUUAUUGCUGCAAUGAAAAUAUGUGAUGCAUGAACUUAUGUUCAAGUAGGUUGAAAGAAUCAAAGAGUUUUGGUUUUACUUACCAACAUAAGAAUUGUGAAUAAUGAAUCGGAGCAUUUGGGAAGGCUGAAAGUUUAGUUU